Long non-coding RNA from Symphalangus syndactylus (siamang), 1162 nucleotides. RefSeq lists it as uncharacterized. The record is from RefSeq and is a predicted model, not a curated record. Lineage: Eukaryota; Metazoa; Chordata; Mammalia; Primates; Hylobatidae.
AGGAGAGUCAGCUGGGAAAUGUAGUUCUCUCUCCGUGUCCCGCUUGUCUCCACGACUGCACGGACUGUCGAGACCUCGUGACUGUGAAGUCCUCUAUAUCCCGCAGACUGGAGGGGCCGGAGGGAAGGGCAAAAGAAAGAUCAGCACUGGACGGCCUCCUGGCAUCCGAGAUGCACCAACUGGGCCGUUACAGCAGCCGGUAUUCAUCUACAUCGUCCUUAAAGAGCUGUUCUGUUUCCCACAGAUUAGUAGUUACUUAAGUUAUCGGGAGAACCACACCCUCACGAAUACAGUGCAAGUGUAUUCAGAUUGAGGAUAUACUGGGUACCCAGCGGUUGACAACCGGAAGGACACGAGGAUCAGAGGCACCUGUUCUUGGGCUGCCGGUGACCAGAGCUGACAACUUGCCCAGACCACAAGCCUCCCUGUUGAGAAAGCAAGCGGACUCACAGUUUUUCAGUGUCUCAGGGAUCCUGCAGCAGUGAUCCAGUUCCUUCAAAAGAUUUAAGUUAAUUUUUCCACGUUGAAACCACUGACUAGAGAAGAGGCCAUGACCCCAGGAGAAAGACCCUGCAACACAUUUUAACUGCACAUGAAUAAAUAAAAGUACCUGUUACAAAACAGCAGUAACAAAAGGGGGCUGAGGAAGCGACCUAUGCCACUAUUCCAGGAACAACUUUUACCUGUGUGACCGUACUUACUGAGAGGUGGGACCUUUAAGAGUGAAUUCAUGGAUUAAUGAGUUAUCAUGGGAGUGGACCUGAUGUCUUUAUAAAAAGAGAGAGAGAGACCUGAGCUAGCACACUCAGCCCCUCACCAUGUGAUACUCUGUGCUGCCUCAAGACUCUGCAGAGUCUCCAUCAACAAGAAGGCCUUCACCAGAUGCUUGGACUUCUUAGUCUCCAUAACUGUAAGAAAUAAAUUCCUUUCCUUUGUACAUUACCCAGUUUCGUGUAUUCUGUUAUAAGCAACAGGAAACAGAUUAAGACAUCCCUGCUAUCAAAAUGUCACUAUGUAAAGUCAGGAACCAAACGACAGACAUGGACACUUAAAACAAAUAUUGUCAAAAAACAAUUAUGAAAUCCUUACCAUCAAUAUGAAGAAUUUUUACUCCCCAUGACAAGGCAUUUGAUAAUAUACUAUUUGAAGGAAUAAAAUCCUG